Molecule: unclassified non-coding RNA, 344 nt
Filed under: Bombus terrestris (buff-tailed bumblebee)
Lineage: Eukaryota; Metazoa; Arthropoda; Insecta; Hymenoptera; Apidae
Description: misc RNA ENSBTSG00005028747.1
Source: RNAcentral
GGUUUCAGAUACGACGUCUACCGACGUGCACCAGCCUCAUCACUUAGGCACACACAUUAACCCAAUCUACGUGAAUUAUUCCAAAAGAUGACGCGUGGAGUGCUUAACAAUACGCUAUACCGUCAGCUGCUCGUUGAAACUGACAAUAGAGGAUGAGACGAUCCAAGAUGGAAACGUAAUUUCAACUCCAGCCGAGACUGGAUGGAGGCCAACAACUCAAAGUGUCUGCUAUCGCGACACCGUCAUUUUGUACGUACACGUAGAGUGAGGCUAUAGAAAGAAAUCUCUAUUACUCUAUCAGUAUUGAUCUUUUAAAUAAUAGUUCAGCUGCAAAAAUAUCCGAU